ACCAACAAUAAUGGGCAUUCACCCCUUCCUAACAUACCCAUAAGACAGGACGACUGUGAUCCCACCUGACCAGCUUCAAGGGGAUUAAUCAAAUGAUGUUUUUAGCAAGAACAUUUGGCGUCCACUAUGGGGCCCGGUAAAACUAACCCAUACCUCAAGCUCAAUCAUCUCUUCCAUCAAUCGGUGGCUAUUGGCGGCAGGAAGGAAGAAGGUGAGCAAGGAGGACCACAUGAUAAGUUGGGUAUUUCUGAGUUUUUCCAGAAAGGAGAUGACUCUUUGGUUUCCAUCAUUGGGCAUGUUACCCAGUACUACUUGGUCGCCUUUCACCUUAGGACUCUCCGAUUUCUUAUACCUUAAACCUUAACUACGAAGUCAUGAUAUUUCUCCAGCCUUCGGAGUCUUUUAGGCUUUGGUGUCAUUGGAGUAAACUCAGAAAAUUCCAUCGCUCAGAUGGCAAAGGGUUUGGGGUCGAAUC
This 475-nucleotide long non-coding RNA is filed under the name Lathyrus oleraceus (garden pea). Its description in RNAcentral is "Pisum sativum (pea) long non-coding RNA (PSAT_LNC021998)". The record is from RNAcentral. Lineage: Eukaryota; Viridiplantae; Streptophyta; Magnoliopsida; Fabales; Fabaceae.